CAGCAGCCGCGGGAAUACGUAGGGUGCGAGCGUUAAUCGGAAUUACUGGGCGCAAAGCGUGCGCAGGCGGUUAUAUAAGACAGAUGUGAAAUCCCCGGGCUCAACCUGGGACCUGCAUUUGUGACUGUAUAGCUAGAGUACGGUAGAGGGGGAUGGAAUUCCGCGUGUAGCAGUGAAAUGCGUAGAUAUGCGGAGGAACACCGAUGGCGAAGGCAAUCCCCUGGACCUGUACUGACGCUCAUGCACGAAAGCGUGGGGAGCAAACAGGAUUAGAUACCCCAGUAGUCCCUGUCUCUUAUAC
RNAcentral lists this ribosomal RNA (301 nucleotides) under uncultured bacterium. RNAcentral's name for it is "partial 16S ribosomal RNA". It matches the Rfam family "Bacterial small subunit ribosomal RNA", at positions 509 to 807 of the family's 1533-position model. The record is from RNAcentral.